Molecule: ribosomal RNA, 179 nt
Filed under: uncultured bacterium
Lineage: Bacteria
Description: partial 16S ribosomal RNA
Rfam family: Bacterial small subunit ribosomal RNA
Source: RNAcentral
CCUACGGGAGGCAGCAGUGGGGAAUUUUCCGCAAUGGGCGAAAGCCUGACGGAGCAAUGCCGCGUGAAUGAAGAAGGUCUUCGGAUCGUAAAGUUCUGUCAUUAGGGAAGAAAGGUACGUGUGUUAAUAAUGCGCGUAUUUGACGGUACCUAAGGAGGAAGCCACGGCUAACUACGUGC